CAUUGAAAAUUCAUUCAUAUAAACUACAAACAGAUUUAUAACAAUGGAAGUCAAUGGUUGUACAUUUUCUUUUAGGUCCCUCUAAUCAAGCGAAGCACAAAUUCAUACUACAAAUUAGCUUGGGCAAAUCCAUCAAAACUUUCAAUGACAAUAGUAUGAUGCCUUGUUUUCUGCUUUUUCGGCUAUCGCUGGGUAAAGCCCUGCAUUGAUUGGUGCUACAACGCCACAUGCAAGAAGAAACACAACAAAUAAAUAAAUCAGUAAUCUACUAUAGAAGAAAAAAAUCCACUUAGAAUCAUGAGAAUUUUGUGUUCUUUGGGGCACACACAAAAUGAGUUAAAGGGAACGCAUGCAGCAAUAUUCCAAAGUUCAGGAAGAGCUGCCAUGACCUUGUUACGUUUAAGAUUUUUCUUUCUAAUCAGCUGGGGAUGUAGUGUAUAAUAAGUUGAUAUACACUACAUCCCCAACUGAUCAGAAAGAAAAAUUACAGUCUCAUUGGCAUGUUGUCAGUCUAAGGAAAUCUCUGACAGUUGUAAAGACUUGAUAUUAUUAAAAUGACAGUAUUAUUAACAUGUUGUCAGACAUACCUGUAGUGUUCAGCUGAAUGGUACUAUACUGACUUAAAAGGUUUAACCAAACAGAAAGUUAUUAUAACUGUAGUAAUACCUACACCCCGAAUAGAAAAGAUGGUAAAUUAGUGUACUAAUCUUGAAAGCACCUUUGGCAACAUAAUCAAAUCCAACAUCUCAGCAUCUAUAGGGAAUGCAAAAUGCUCAUGGAAUAGAAAAACAGAGCACCCCUUUGCAGAAAUAAGGCACAUGUUUCCUUACCUGUAGGCAAAAUGCAAUAUAUUGUUUGUUUCCUGCAGGUCCUUAGCAGACUGUAAAACAAAAUAAGAAGCCAUGUUAGAUGGUAUGUGAAAGCGGAUACAUGAAUGGUACUAACACGAUAUAUUGUCUGCCCACAGCAAGUUAUCAAGCAAGAUCAUCAAAUAUUUCUUUGCAGACCAGUGUGAGUGUUGUCAGCAUUCUCGGGGGAAUUACCUACAACAAAGCUGGAAUACAAGGACUGACUAAGAAAUACUCACAUCACUCGAACUAAAAUCCCGUGCACAAAAUUUGAGAUGUCCAUUACUACUCUAUAAUGUAGCAUCGGACUCAUAUUCUCUGAAAUAGAUAUUAAAUAUAUGAUAACAUAAACAACAAUCCAAGAGAACUUAUUUUGAAGGUUAUAAGAGCAUAAGUAACAGCCUCAGAAAAAACAUGAUGUUAGUCCUUGCCUUAAUUCAGAUUGUUUGCUAUAACAAAAAGGAGCAAAGGUUCAGAAGAAGAAGGUAGAUUGAUUGGCUCAAAGUAGCAUACUGGUGAGGCAGUGUAUCCAUCCAUGUAGGAAAAAUUCAUCUAUCUAGUAGUUUGAUCUACUACUCAUGAUGCGGUAGGACAGAGUGAAUACUCCGAACCGACUUAAACUUGUUUUAGACAAUUCUUAGUGUCAAGAUGGGGAAAUAAAUAAUACCUCUAUGAGUGACUUUCGAGCAUCUUUUAGCUCCCUCUUCUGUCCUAUAUUUGCAGACAAUAGUGCAAUGCUCGUAAUUUGCCUGCAUCAGAAAGGGAACAACUAUAAAUAUAAUUAUAGGG
RNAcentral lists this long non-coding RNA (1637 nucleotides) under Triticum aestivum (bread wheat). RNAcentral's name for it is "long non-coding RNA (TAES_LNC008075)". Lineage: Eukaryota; Viridiplantae; Streptophyta; Magnoliopsida; Poales; Poaceae. The record is from RNAcentral.